AAAAAUAAGAGAGCUAAGCGAUAGAAAAAUCUGAAAAAUAAAAAAUAGCACAAAAUUGAGGAAAAAUUACUGUUUUAUUGAAGUUCUAGUAGUUUUGUGCUGCUUUUCAAACACCUGAAAAGCAUUACAUCUUCAUUAUUGGAUUUGGAAUGGUGUUAUUUUGGAUAUUUUAGAAAGGGUUUUGGUUUGAAGUUUGGUUGAAUUUAGUGUUCAUCAAAUUCUUUUGUGAUACCCUCAAUUCUGAUUCAUGAAAUGGUUUCUGAGUUAUAUGGGUUGAGAUGGUUCAAGUUUUGGUACUUUGUUUGAAAAACACUGGUUAGAAAUCCUAAUUUUAGAUCUGUGAUUGCUGGGCAUCAAUUUAUUUGUGUUCAAAGCUGUUUUCGUGGUUUAUUUUUCUUGUUGGGACCCUGUUGUUACUGCUUCUGUUGAUCUUUGCUCCCACUACCCUCUGCUGUUCUUUUUCAGAAUCUCCAGGUAUUUCUUUAGCUCAUGGUUGAAACAUUAGUGUUGAUAUACGUAAUGAUCUGAAGUUUGGUCAAAUGAAGACCUUGUUUGAAGCUGAAUUCCCAUUCUUCUUUUAAUAUUUUUGUGUUUUGUAACUAGAUUUCCAAUUAUAGAUGUUGUUCAAGACUCUUCUCUUUCAUCUAAAAUUUAGUAUGUGAUGGUUAAAUUGGUAUUAUAUUUGCACCUGCGUCAGUGCGUGAAUCAUGGGUUUUGGUCAUUUGGACUCACGCUUGAUGUUGAAUGUGGGUUUUAUAUUUGAAAACGAAAAAAGCUUUCUACUAAGAAUCACGCAUGUUUUGUCUUGAAGGUCACCAUUGUAUUUGCAAUUUGGGUAUUAUUUCAAGUUAUGUUUGAUUUUAGUGUAAACGUUGGUGUUAUGAGUAGUGCUUAGUUCCUUAUGUAAUGUGUCGUGUUUUAAUGUGUUUAUUUCCAAUUAAUUGGAUUGAUUUAUAAAGUUAUCCAUUGGUUAUACCUUGUGAAUGUCGUUUCUGAUUCUGUACUGGGCCUGACAAGAGGCUGGGCCUUCUUCAAGAGAGAAAAACUAGACUCUACUUGUAAUAGUCCAGUUGAGGCCUGCCUGGUGGUUUUGGCCCAGUUCGUUGGUCGAUGUACUCAUCUGACCAUUUCGUUGGGUUUGAUCUUGGAUCUUAUCGUGCCACACUUGGUUCUAUUUGAUUUUGUUAAUUUUAGGGGCAUAGAAUGAACGUCUUUAAUAAUACUUGGACUUUAGUUUGUUCAAAUUAAGUUUUUUUAAAAUAAUUGAGUUAAAUCGUGUUAGUAACAAAAACGAUUAUGGCCCUCCAAGUAUUGUUAAAUUAAUCCUUUUAGUUUAGAUUUGGGUGUGUCAUGCCAAAUAAAACCCCAAUCUCAUGGCCCUCAUUUAAUUAAAUUCGUAGUGAUUCUUAGAAAUCGAGGCUUUCCAUUUAGCGAAUUUUCAUGGCCCCUCGUAAAUCUAAAAAUGCAUAAUUGCUUUACGCGCGCAAGUUAAUAAUGUAUUUUCCUAAAUUUGGGUACGCAUUUAUGUGAACCAUAUCCAAUCUCAAAGGUGUUAAAAUAUAUCAAAAAUCAUGGUUGCAUUUAUGUGAUGUAAUUUGAGACGUAUUUUAAUAAUGUCGCAAAUUUUCUCUAAAAUGAAUAAAAACAGCUAAAGUUAAAAAUUGCACAUGGGUAUAAAAUAUAAUAAAAUUAGAAAAUUAAGCCAAAUAUAGCAGUUGUGAGAUCGUGCUAGAACCACGAAAUUCAGGAGUUCCUAACACCUUCUCUCGGGUUAACAGAAUUCCUUACCCGGAUUUCUGGUUCGCAGACUGUUAAAUAGAGUCAAACCUUCCUCGAUUCAGGAUUUAAACCGAUGACUUGGGACACCAUGAAUUAUUCCAAGUGGCGACUCUGAUCUUUAGAUAAAUGAAUCCUGUUUCGAUUAUCCUUAAAUUGGAAAAACUUCCUUAUCUACGCCCUUCACAAUGGUUGUAGAUGUUAAAAAGAAGGUGUGACACCAGGUUAUAGAGGAUCUGCCACAGGCUUUUUCCACUGUUAAUUUGUAGAAUACAUAGGCUGAAGAUGAAGCUGUGUAUGUUAACUCUGGUGCAAGCAGAGACAUAGCCAAUUCAACAGGUAAUUUAUCAAACCUUCAACCUUAUAAUGAUUCUGAUAAGAUAUAGUUGGGGAUGGCUCUAAACUUGACAUCACACAUAUUGAAAUUUAAUAUAAUCUGGACUUAGAGUAAAGAAAAUUCUUGUUGUUCCUAAGAUUAAGAAGAAACUAUCGUUAGUUAGUAAACUUGCUAAGGACAAUUCUUGUACGCUUGAGUUUAAUGAAUCUGAUUUUGUUGUAAAGGCCAAGAGCUUAGGGAGUCUUCUGGUCAAGGGAUCUAAGAAGAAUGAUAUAUAUGCAAUGGAAGACUAUAAAUUUUAUGCCUUAUCUGCAUCAAAGGAGUGGAAGAAUACAGAUAGUAUUUGGCAUUCUAGAUUAGGUCACCCUAGCUUAAAGUCUUUAAUAAUUUUUAGUAGUAACAAGUGUAUUGAUGUCAAGUACUGGAAUAAAGCUCCUACUAUUUGUGUCCGUUUUCAGUUAGGAAAAAGAUGUAAGCAUCCAUUUGAAUUGAGAAGUAAGAUUGAAAAAAGCCUUUAUUUAAAAUUCAUUAUGAUCUUUGGGGUCCAGCUCCUGUUGAAUCAUCUCAGCACAUGAGAUACUAUGUAGUGUUUGUUGAUAACUGUACCAAAUAUACCUGGUUCUAUCCACUAAGAAGGAAAUCUGAAUUCUGUGAUAUUUUUGUUAAGUUUCAAAAGAUGGUUGAGAAACAACUUACGAAGACUAUUAAGAUUAUUUGAGUGUGACGGAGGUGGUGAAUAUAAUAGCACUGCAUUUAAUGAACAUAUUUAUAACUGUGGUAUUGUUAAACAUAUAUCAUGUCCUCACACACCUGAGAAAAAUGAAGUCUCUGAGAGGAAACCGAGACAUAUAGUAGAAACUGGUCUGACCUUGAUGUUUCAUGCAAAGCUGCCACCGUUUGUUUGGGUAGAGGCCUUCUUUACAGUUGUAUUCUUAAUUAAAAAAAUGCCUUGAUCAGUGUUACAAAUGAUAACUCCAUUCUUUAAGCUAAGGAGCCAGAGACUAUAAAUGAGGCACUCAGCUCACCAGAAUGGCUUGCUGCUAGGCAAGAGGAGAUAGAUGCACUUCACCAAAACAAGACUUGGAUAGUGGUGCCUAAGUCACCUAGUAUGUAUAUACUUGGUUGCAGGUGGGUGUUUAAAACCAAAAUAAAGGCUGAUGGAUCCAUUGACAGGUACAAGUCAAGUCUAGUUGCCAAAGGUUAUUCACAGCUUGAAGGAGUAGACUUUGCGGAAACCUUCAGCCUAAUUGUUAAAGCAACCACUAUAAGAGUAGUUCUUAUAGUAGCUGUGAGUCUCCACUGGUGUAUGAGGAAACUAGAUAAAAAUAAUACAUUUUUGUAUGGACAUCUAUAUGAGGAGGUGUACAUGAGUCAGCCACUAGGUUUUAAAGAUUCUAGACAUCUUGACAGUGUGUAUCUCCUAAAGAAAGCAUUGUAUGGUCUUAAGCAGACACCUGGAGCCUGGUUUGACAAGUUCAAUUUGCACCUGCUCCACCUUGGUUUUAAGUGUAGUAAGGCAGACUCCUCGCUUUUUGUGAUGCAUAAUAAAAGAGGAACAAUCCUUCUCCUUCUAUAUGUUGAUGAUACAAUUGUCAGUGGAAGUCACAUUGCACUAAUUUCAAAAAUUAUUUUUGAACUAGGAAAGGAAUUUGCUAUGAAGGAUCUUAGACCUUUGCACUUCUUCUUAGGGAUUGAGGUCACCUACUUUACUGGAGGUAUCCAUCUGAAUCAAAUUAAAUAUGUUUCAAAAUUACUUGCCAAGACUAGCAUGGCACUUCCUAAGCCAAUAAACAUAUCUCUAGCACAGAAGCAUAGUUGACAAGAAGCUGUAGAUGAUCUAAUUGAUGCCUCACUAUACAGAAAUGUUGUUGGUAGUAUGUAGUAUUUGACUCUCACAAGGUCAGACAUAACUCAUGCAGCAAACCAGAUAACACUCAUUUCCAAGCUGUAAAGAAGAUCCUUAGGUAUGUGAAGGGCACAACUGAGUAUGAUAUGAGAAUCUUGUCUUAGUCACCAUUCAGGCUAAAUGGUUUCUAUAAUGCAGACUGGGGAAGGUGACCUAUGACUAGGAGAUCAACUACAGGCUACAAAUGUCUAUCCCUAACAAGCCGACUGGUCAUUUUGAGCAAUUGCACUUUUCUCAGUUGUUUGAGGGCAUGAGUAGCUUUGUAAGAAGUAUAAGACUUAUAUGAAUCGUCGGUUUUGAUUUUAAGGUUAUUCUAAAUUGAUUUGGAAGAAGGAUUCUUAACUAGAAUUUUUAAAUUUGAAAGGUUUAACCAAGUUUUGGCUUUUUAGAAUUUGACCUUGGUUUAGAUUUUAGAUGGUUUUGUUAGCUCCAUUGGGUGAUUUUAGACUUAAGAGCGCGUCUGAAUUGUUAUUUGGAGGUCCAUAAUAGAAUUUGGCUUGAAAUAGAGAAAGUUAGAAUUUUGGAAAGUUUGGUAGAGAGUGGACUUUUUGGCUUGAAAUGUUACUUGCGUGCAAAAGUUGAGGUUAGUUGGACAUGAUUUUAUAGGUUUCGGCGUCGGUUGUUUAAGUUUCAAGUUCAUUGAUUUUGAAUUAAUGUGUGAUUCAUCAUUUAUGUUGUUAUGUGUGCUUUGAGGCCUCAAGUAGGUCUGUUUUAAUAUGAGACUUGUUGGUAUGUUUGAACAGGGUCUUGAGGGGCUCAGGUGAGUUUCGGAUAGGUUUGGAUUGUGUUGCGCUCAUUUUUUAUGUUUCGCCGUUGUUUUUUAAGCAUAAAUAUUACUACAUUGAGCAAAUGAGCUCUGAUUUCUAUUUUUAUUGAAACAUUAAAUCUAUAUCGUAAUUACAAAGUCAUAUAAAAAAUAAUCAUCGAAAUUUGGAUAUCAUAUAAGAAUUUUAUGAUUAUUUUACUAUGAAUUGGGUUGCUAGAUUUUUCAGAUUAAUUACGAAAUCUCCACUGAAUUCGUAUUUAAAAAUCUACACUAUUUUCAAAUAUUGAAACCAUCAUAUCUCCUUCAAUAUAAGGUCAAAUGGAGUGAUUCAAGAGUCUAACAUGACUAAACUUUUACAAAAAAUGCAGUGGAGGCAUUAAAAGUGAGGUUAGGUCUUGUUUGGCAUGAGAAUCGAGGCAAAAUAGCUAGCAAAAAAAUAUACAAAAUAUUGAUUUGUUCAUUUGGUGAUAUUUUGAGUUGGAGAGCUCAGAUUUAGGCAAUUUUGGAGGUGAUUUUUGCCAUAUGUAUUGGCGUAAGUGUUCUCUACUCGGUUUUAAUUAUAUUUAAUGAAUCCAUCUUCAUUUUUUGUAUUUGAUUGAUGAUUUCAAAAUGAAAUUUGGGAGUUUUGCCUAAAUUUUGAUAAAGUGAAUUUCUAAAUUUUGAACAUCAAUUCAGAGUCGAAAUUGGAUGAACUAGUAUAAUUGGACUCAUAAUUGAGUGUGUUGUCGAUUUUAUGAGCUUUAUAGGGUUCCGAGAUGCGGGCUCGGGUUGGGCUUUUCGGUUGAUUUCAGGCUUUUGAUUAAUGAUUCGACCUUUUUCGAUUGAGAUUUGGUUGUUUUGAUGUAUUUGAGUUGUUUUUCGUUAGUUUCGAGCCAUUCGAAGGUCGGACACGCGAGAUGGCAUAUUAGAGCAUCGCCUGGCUUGUUCGGCAUUGGAAUUGGCUUGUUUGAGAUAAGUAAUGAUUGUAAAUCUUGUCUUGAGGGUAUGAAACCCUAGCUUUCACAUUGUUUCACUACUUUGAGGUGAUACACACGCUAGACAACGAGCGUAUGGGCGUGCACCAUUAGGUAUUAUGACUUGGUUUGUCUCGUACAACUAUUAGUUCGCGUAUUUGAUUGAAAAUUAUUUGAUACUUUUGGGAAGUAUUACUAUGUUUUGUAAUGGAUGUCAUAUUUGGGCCUCGUGCCAACUUUUGGACCCUUAUGGGCCUUUCACUACUAUUCCUCAUUGUUUUUACUUAAUAUUUGCAUUUAGUCAUGCUGUGUUUUACUAAUUUUAUUACUCAACCUUAUUUACUCAGUUUUGAUACUAUAAAUGAUAUUUUGGGCUGAACGCCCUAUUUUACUGUUAGCCUGAGUGCCUUGAGAUAUUUUUGACUAAGUGAGGUCGAGAGUCUGUGUUGUGAGGAUAUUAUGUGAUCGGGCUUCACACCGCAACAUAUUAUUAUUGAUUCAUAAUAUUAUAAGGCUGAGGUCCUGAUUGAUCAAUGACACAAGGUGGCUGAGACCGAGGGCCUCAUUGAUUUAUGCCAUGAGGUGGCUUGUUAUAACGCUUGGGCUGUAGGAUCCCUUCUGGAGUCUGAACAACCCAAUAAGCACAGGUACCUAUAGUGAGUGAUAUGAUGUUGCCCGAGGGGUUGAUCUUGAAUUAUGUUAUGCCCGCAGGACUGAUACGAGUGAUUGUGAGAUAGCUAGAGGGGCUAGUUCUGUUGAUAUUAUUCCCGAGCGGGGGUUUAUGAUACAUGUCUUGCUCGAGGGGCUGUUUGUGAUUUAUUUUGCCCGAGGGACUGUAUACGGCUGAGUUUUGCCCGAUGGGCUGAUUAUGUUUUCACUAUUUUUACUCACCAUUUUAUCACUUUGUUAUGAAAAAUUGUUGAAAGACAGUUUCAAAGAAUUUUUACUGAAAUUUGAUUUUUAAUGAGAUGACUUGAUUCAUAUAGUGUUUUGGGAACAUCCUGUAGUUGCUGUUGUGUUAUGACGUGGAUUGUGUGUUUUCUUACUGCUCAGUCUUUAUUUACUUUUAUUACUUACUGAGUUGGUGUACUCACAUUACUCCCUGCACCUUGUGUACAGAAUCAGGUAUUUCUGAACCCCGUAGCGGGUGUUGAUUACUCA
Molecule: long non-coding RNA, 6899 nt
Filed under: Nicotiana benthamiana
Lineage: Eukaryota; Viridiplantae; Streptophyta; Magnoliopsida; Solanales; Solanaceae
Description: long non-coding RNA (NBEN_LNC040253)
Source: RNAcentral